This 279-nucleotide ribosomal RNA is filed under the name uncultured soil bacterium. RNAcentral describes it as "partial 16S ribosomal RNA". It matches the Rfam family "Bacterial small subunit ribosomal RNA", at positions 26 to 334 of the family's 1533-position model. The record is from RNAcentral.
AGAACGAACGCUGGCGGCAUGCCUAAUACAUGCAAGUCGAACGAACACUUCGGUGUUAGUGGCGCACGGGUGCGUAACGCGUGGGAAUCUGCCCUUGGGUUCGGAAUAACAGUUGGAAACGACUGCUAAUACCGGAUGAUAUCGAAAGAUCAAAGAUUUAUCGCCCAGGGAUGAGCCCGCGUAGGAUUAGCUAGUUGGUGAGGUAAAGGCUCACCAAGGCGACGAUCCUUAGCUGGUCUGAGAGGAUGAUCAGCCACACUGGGACUGAGACACGGCCAG